GAUGAACGCUGGCGGCGUGCCUAAUACAUGCAAGUCGAGCGAACAGACGAGGAGCUCGCUCUUCUGACGUUAGCGGCGGACGGGUGAGUAACACGUGCAUCACCUACCUCUUAUUCUUGGAUAACUUCGGGAAACCGGUUCCACUACCAGCUCAUAUAUUCUACCGCAUGGUUCAAUAGUGCUUGACGGCUUUGCCGUCUCUUAUAGAUGGAUUCGGGCCGCAUUAGCAAGUUGGUAAGGUAACGCCUUACCAAGGCAACGAUGCGUAGCCGACCUGAUAGAGUGAUCGCCCAAACUGGAACUGGAACACGGUCCAGACUCCUACGGGAGGAAGAAUUAGGAAAUCUUCCGCAAGGGGCGAAAGCCUGACGGAGCAACGCGGCGUGGGUGAUGAAGGUCUUCGGAUCUUAAGACUCUGUUAUUAGGGAAGAAAGAAGGUGUAAGUAACUAUGCACGUCUUGACGGUACCUAAGCAGAAGGCCACGGCUAACUACGUG
RNAcentral lists this ribosomal RNA (497 nucleotides) under uncultured bacterium. RNAcentral describes it as "partial 16S ribosomal RNA". It matches the Rfam family "Bacterial small subunit ribosomal RNA", at positions 28 to 507 of the family's 1533-position model. The record is from RNAcentral.